GAUGAACGCUGGCGGCGUGCCUAAUACAUGCAAGUCGAGCGAACAGAUGAGGAGCUUGCUCCUCUGACGUUAGCGGCGGACGGGUGAGUAACACGUGGAUAACCUACCUAUAAGACUGGGAUAACUUCGGGAAACCGGAGCUAAUACCGGAUAAUAUAUUGAACCGCAUGGUUCAAUAGUGAAAGACGGUUUUGCUGUCACUUAUAGAUGGAUCCGCGCCGCAUUAGCUAGUUGGUAAGGUAACGGCUUACCAAGGCAACGAUGCGUAGCCGACCUGAGAGGGUGAUCGGCCACACUGGAAAUGAGACACGGUCCAGACCCCUACGGGAGGCAGCAGUAGGGAAGCUUCCGCAAUGGGCGAAAGCCUUACGGAGCAACGCCGCGUGAGUGAUGAAGGUCUUCGGAUCGUAAAACUCUGUUAUUAGGGAAGAACAAAAUGUGUAAGUAACUAUGCACGUCUUGACGGUACCUAAUCAGAAAGCCACGGCUAACUACGUG
Molecule: ribosomal RNA, 498 nt
Filed under: uncultured bacterium
Lineage: Bacteria
Description: partial 16S ribosomal RNA
Rfam family: Bacterial small subunit ribosomal RNA
Source: RNAcentral